CCAGCCCGUUUUCCAGAGGUCU
This 22-nucleotide microRNA is filed under the name Ornithorhynchus anatinus (platypus). RNAcentral describes it as "oan-miR-1353". Lineage: Eukaryota; Metazoa; Chordata; Mammalia; Monotremata; Ornithorhynchidae. The record is from miRBase by way of RNAcentral.